GUAAUUGGGACAGUAGUUAGGGGCAGUUGGGACAGUAGUUUGGGCAGUUGGGACAGUAGUUAGCGACAGUUGGGACAGUAGUUAGGGGCAGUUGGGACAGUAGUUUGGACAGUUGGGAAAGUACUUAGCGGCAGUUGGGACAGUAGUUAGGGCAGUUGGGACAGUAGUUGGGGCAGUUGGGACAGUAGUUAGUGGCAUUAGCGACAGUUGGGACAGUAGUUUGCGCCAGUUGGGAAAGUAGUUAGGGGCAGUUGGGACAGUAGUUAGCAACAGUUGGGAAAGUAGUUAGGGGUAGUUGGGACAGUAGUUAGCUGCAGUUGGGACAGUAGUUAGCAGCAGUUGGGAAAGUAGUUGGGGCAGUUGGGACAGUAGUUAGCGACAGUUGGGACAGUAGUUAGUGGCAGUUGGGACAGUAGUUAGGGGCAGUUGGGACAGUAGUUAG
Molecule: long non-coding RNA, 442 nt
Organism: Ictalurus punctatus (channel catfish)
Lineage: Eukaryota; Metazoa; Chordata; Actinopteri; Siluriformes; Ictaluridae
Source: Ensembl